RNAcentral lists this ribosomal RNA (484 nucleotides) under uncultured bacterium. Its description in RNAcentral is "partial 16S ribosomal RNA". It matches the Rfam family "Bacterial small subunit ribosomal RNA", at positions 30 to 507 of the family's 1533-position model. The record is from RNAcentral.
AUUGAACGCUGGCGGCAGGCCUAACACAUGCAAGUCGAGCGGAUGAAGGGAGCUUGCUCCUGGAUUCAGCGGCGGACGGGUGAGUAAUGCCUAGGAAUCUGCCUGGUAGUGGGGGAUAACGUCCGGAAACGGGCGCUAAUACCGCAUACGUCCUGAGGGAGAAAGUGGGGGAUCUUCGGACCUCACGCUAUCAGAUGAGCCUAGGUCGGAUUAGCUAGUUGGUGGGGUAAAGGCCUACCAAGGCGACGAUCCGUAACUGGUCUGAGAGGAUGAUCAGUCACACUGGAACUGAGACACGGUCCAGACUCCUACGGGAGGCAGCAGUGGGGAAUAUUGGACAAUGGGCGAAAGCCUGAUCCAGCCAUGCCGCUUGUGUGAAGAAGGUCUUCGGAUUGUAAAGCACUUUAAGUUGGGAGGAAGGGCAGUAAGUUAAUACCUUGCUGUUUUGACGUUACCAACAGAAUAAGCACCGGCUAACUUCGAG